Cricetulus griseus (Chinese hamster) is the source of this 915-nucleotide non-coding RNA. NCBI's taxonomy places the organism in Eukaryota, Metazoa, Chordata, Mammalia, Rodentia, Cricetidae. The record is from RefSeq and is a predicted model, not a curated record.
GGCGCAGUUCCGGAUUUGCGCAUCCUGUUUCCGGUCUGGCCGGCGACUCCCGGCUUGCGAGCAUUGGCAACGCCGAGCUUUAGGGUUUAGCAGCUAAAAGGAAAGUGAUGUGGGCGAAACGCACUGGUCCGGUCCCGUACUUGAACUGCACUACAAACAAGCUACAAAACAGUUAUCACAAGGAACUUGCGGGGCAAUACAGUUUUCAGGGUUUCUCUAUGUAACAGCCCUAGAUGUCCUGGAACUCAUGCUACAGACCAAAUUGGCCUCAAAGUCACAGAGAUCCACCUGCUUCUUCCUCCCUAAUGUGAUUAAAGGCAUGCACUACCACCACCCAGCAGGUAAGAGGAUCUUAUGCAAGUAUUUACUACAAGAUCAUUUUACUUAGAAUAAUUUUAAAAGAGCAAUUAAGAUUUUAUUGAAUAUCUAAUUCACAGUAUUAGUGUGAUGAUUUAUUCAAAUUUCAAGGAAAAUUUAUCUUAAUAUUGAAGAAAAUAUUAAUUAGGUAUAGUUAAUCACCUCAAGAUUAAAAUUUCAGGAUGUGAAAACUGUCAGUAGUUUCAAACAGUUCAGAUCACAAAAAUUAAAAAGGUGAAAGCAUAGGAAAGAUUGGUGAUUGCCACAUGCAGUGUGUGCAUCUGGACAGCAGCAUGGGUUGAAAGGAGAAGCCAUCACUGGGUCACGUAGGACAGUGAGAGGCUCUCCACUCAAGAAAUACUGUCUGCCUUACAAGUGGUGAAGAGGUGGUUACACAGGGAAAUGCUCUUUUUUUUUUUUUUUUUUUUUUUUUUGAGUGUCACAGCACCUGUGACUUACUUCAGAGUAUCUCAGAAGAGGAAAGCCUCUUGCAUAAAAUAAUAGUGACUGCCAAUAGCAGAGGCAGGAGAGUCUAUAACCCAUUAAUUAAACUUUUAA